AUGUGGAUCAAACAAGACAUGGCCAUCUCGUACAGAGCGGCUCGAGCAGAGGAGCAAGCUUGCACAGACCUUCCGCACAGGGCACAGGAACAGCAGGCGGCGGCGGCGGCGACCAUCCCGUCGCUGGUGAUGGAGUGGAGCCAGCCGUUCCCCAACGCCGGGAAUGCAAAUGGCAGUAGCAAGGAGAGCAACACCGAUCCUCCAUCCAGCGUGGAGUGGCCUUCCGACUGGUACAUCGAGGAACCAAGGGCAAUCCAUCAAGAUUGGCCCAUUAACACAGAGAUUGACUUGAAUUUGGAUUACUCUGUGCAAAACCAGCUCAACAUGGAUUGCCACGUCCAGCAAAGAGAAGAAAUGGAUGAGAUGCAUGCAUUUGAAUCUCCACAAAUGAAUGCCAGUUUUUCCGAAGACCUUGUAUAUGAGUCACAUUCCAGCGAACAAUCAAGUUCUGAUGUUGAGGAUGUACUGCAGGCUCACCUAGAAGGGGACACGGAUGUUGAAGAAUUGUUCCCGGUACCUGAUGAGGAAGAGUUGGUUGAGGAUCCUAGGGUGGACAAGGCAGCUAUGAUAAGGGAAGCAAGAAGCAAAAAUGCGAAAGCCAAAGCAAUCAAGAUCAGGCAGGUUAAGCAAAGAGCAGCCGCAGGCACGAUUGAGGAUGCAUUUGUGCUUAGUGAUAGUUGUAGUGACGACAAUAGAGAGAUAAUAGAUUUAGACGACGAUGAUGGUGCUGUGUUGGGGAACGGCUGGCUCCACUCCAUCACCAGCGACGGGAUGGUCGCCGCCGCCGCCGCCUGCUGUUCCUGUGCCCUGUGCGGAAGGUCUGUGCAAGCUUGCUCCUCUGCUCGAGCCGCUCUGUACGAGAUGGCCAUGUCUUGUUUGAUCCACAUGGGCUUUCAGCCCACCUAUUUUUAG
Molecule: ribosomal RNA, 912 nt
Filed under: Triticum aestivum (bread wheat)
Lineage: Eukaryota; Viridiplantae; Streptophyta; Magnoliopsida; Poales; Poaceae
Description: partial small subunit ribosomal RNA
Source: RNAcentral